This is a non-coding RNA of Acanthochromis polyacanthus (spiny chromis), 575 nucleotides long. The record is from the annotation of a RefSeq genome assembly. Lineage: Eukaryota; Metazoa; Chordata; Actinopteri; Pomacentridae.
CAUUUCUAUUGGCUUCUCUUGGACCAGCACUGAUGCUUCAUAUGUUCUAUGCAAACUCCAUGAGCGUCCAGCUUUAAAAACAUCAGACUGUCAGCAAAGUUCACAGCACAUCAGUUUCACCUCCAACCAUGUUGUCUGUAGCUCUACUGCUGCUCUUUGCAGCUGCAUCCUGUGUGAAGUGUGAACAGUUGACUCAGCCACAAUCUGUGACUGUGCAGCCAGGUCAACGUCUCUCCAUCACCUGUCAGGUCUCUUAUUCUGUGAGCAGCUACUGGACAGCUUGGAUCAGACAACCUGCAGGGAAAGGACUGGAAUGGAUUGGAAUGAGAACUACUGGAUACGGGAACUCAUACUACAAAGAUUCACUGAAGAACAAGUUCAGCAUCGAAUUGGACACUUCCACCAACAGAGUGACUCUGAAUGGACAGAAUAUGCAGCCUGAAGACUCUGCUGUGUAUUACUGUGCCAGAGACACACAGUGACACAAAUGAUCAGCAGACCUGAACAAAAACCCCUCAGUGUCUGAACACUUGUAACAUGAAGCCACCAGAGGAGGAGCCCUCAGACCAGGAAUG